This 253-nucleotide ribosomal RNA is filed under the name uncultured bacterium. RNAcentral's name for it is "partial 16S ribosomal RNA". It matches the Rfam family "Bacterial small subunit ribosomal RNA", at positions 524 to 776 of the family's 1533-position model. The record is from RNAcentral.
UACAGAGGUCCCAAGCGUUGUUCGGAUUCACUGGGCGUAAAGGGUGCGUAGGCGGUCGGGUAAGUCUGAUGUGAAAUCUCACAGCUUAACUGUGAAACUGCAUUGGAUACUAUUCGGCUUGAGAGUUGGAGGGGGGACUGGAAUUCUUGGUGUAGCAGUGAAAUGCGUAGAUAUCAAGAGGAACACCGGUGGCGAAGGCGGAUCUCUGGGCCUGUCCUGACGCUGAGGCGCGAAAGCUAGGGGAGCGAACAGG